UGGAGACAUGAAGACAGAACCUCACCCAGAGAGCUGUACAUGUCAGUGUGUUAGACAAAUCCUAGAAAUGCCAUUCUAGUUCCGGUAAGACCGCUGAAGUUGUACUCUACAUAACUGACGUGUUAGGUACAGUCUAGACAGACUGUCUUCAUAAGCACAACAGUGUGAUAUUUACAGCACAACAGUGUGAUAUUUACAGCACAACAGUGUGAUAUUUACAGCACAAACAGGAUGAUUAUUUACAGCACAACAGGAUGAUUAUUUACAGCACAACAGGAUGAUUAUUUACAGCACAACAGUGUGAUAUUUACAGCACAGCAGGGUGAUAUUUACAGCAUAGCAGGGUGAUAUUUACAGCACAACAGUGUGAUAUUUACAGCACAACAGGAUGAUAUUUACAGCACAACAGGAUGAUAUUUACAGCACAACGGAGUGAUAUUUACAGCACAACGGGGUGAUAUUUACAGCACAACAGGAUGAUAUUUACAGCACAACAGGGUGAUAUUUACAGCACAACAGGAUGAUAUUUACAGCACAACAGGAUGAUAUUUACAGCACAACAGGGUGAUAUUUACAGCACAACAGGAUGAUAUUUACAGCACAACAGGAUGAUAUUUACAGCACAGCAGGGUGAUAUUUACAGCACAACAGUGUGAUAUUUACAGCACAACAGGGUGAUAUUUACAGCACAACAGGGUGAUAUUUACAGCACAGCAGGGUGAUAUUUACAGCACAACAGUGUGAUAUUUACAGCACAACAGGGUGAUAUUUACAGCACAACAGGAUGAUAUUUACAGCACAGCAGGGUGAUAUUUACAGCACAACAGGGUGAUAUUUACAGCACAACAGGGUGAUAUUUACAGCACAGCAGGAUGAUAUUUACAGCACAACAGGAUGAUAUUUACAGCA
This is a long non-coding RNA of Oncorhynchus keta (chum salmon), 909 nucleotides long. RefSeq lists it as uncharacterized. The transcript has 3 exons. The record is from RefSeq and is a predicted model, not a curated record. NCBI's taxonomy places the organism in Eukaryota, Metazoa, Chordata, Actinopteri, Salmoniformes, Salmonidae.